RNAcentral lists this ribosomal RNA (482 nucleotides) under uncultured bacterium. Its description in RNAcentral is "partial 16S ribosomal RNA". It matches the Rfam family "Bacterial small subunit ribosomal RNA", at positions 28 to 507 of the family's 1533-position model. The record is from RNAcentral.
GACGAACGCUGGCGGCGUGCUUAACACAUGCAAGUCGAACGCUGAAGCUCAGCUUGCUGGGUGGAUGAGUGGCGAACGGGUGAGUAACACGUGAGUAACCUGCCCUCUUCUUUGGGAUAACGCCCGGAAACGGGUGCUAAUACUGGAUAUUCACUGAUUCUCGCAUGGGGGUUGGGGGGAAGGUUUUUUUUGGGGGGGGAUGGGCUCGCGGCCUAUCAGCUUGUUGGUGGGGUGAUGGCCUACCAAGGCUUUGACGGGUAGCCGGCCUGAGAGGGUGACCGGUCACAUUGGGACUGAGAUACGGCCCAGACUCCUACGGGAGGCAGCAGUGGGGAAGAUUGCACAAUGGGCGAAAGCCUGAUGCAGCGACGCCGCGUGAGGGAUGGAGGCCUUCGGGUUGUAAACCUCUUUCGCUCAUGGUCAAGCCGCAGCUUUGGGUUGUGGUGAGGGUAGUGGGUAAAGAAGCGCCGGCUAACUACGUG